Molecule: ribosomal RNA, 627 nt
Filed under: Bacillus licheniformis
Lineage: Bacteria; Bacillati; Bacillota; Bacilli; Caryophanales; Bacillaceae
Description: bacterial SSU rRNA
Rfam family: Bacterial small subunit ribosomal RNA
Source: RNAcentral
UGGGCGUAAGCGCGCGCAGGCGGUUUCUUAAGUCUGAUGUGAAAGCCCCCGGCUCAACCGGGGAGGGUCAUUGGAAACUGGGGAACUUGAGUGCAGAAGAGGAGAGUGGAAUUCCACGUGUAGCGGUGAAAUGCGUAGAGAUGUGGAGGAACACCAGUGGCGAAGGCGACUCUCUGGUCUGUAACUGACGCUGAGGCGCGAAAGCGUGGGGAGCGAACAGGAUUAGAUACCCUGGUAGUCCACGCCGUAAACGAUGAGUGCUAAGUGUUAGAGGGUUUCCGCCCUUUAGUGCUGCAGCAAACGCAUUAAGCACUCCGCCUGGGGAGUACGGUCGCAAGACUGAAACUCAAAGGAAUUGACGGGGGCCCGCACAAGCGGUGGAGCAUGUGGUUUAAUUCGAAGCAACGCGAAGAACCUUACCAGGUCUUGACAUCCUCUGACAACCCUAGAGAUAGGGCUUCCCCUUCGGGGGCAGAGUGACAGGUGGUGCAUGGUUGUCGUCAGCUCGUGUCGUGAGAUGUUGGGUUAAGUCCCGCAACGAGCGCAACCCUUGAUCUUAGUUGCCAGCAUUCAGUUGGGCACUCUAAGGUGACUGCCGGUGACAAACCGGAGGAAGGUGGGGAUGAC